Molecule: ribosomal RNA, 653 nt
Filed under: uncultured bacterium
Lineage: Bacteria
Description: bacterial SSU rRNA
Rfam family: Bacterial small subunit ribosomal RNA
Source: RNAcentral
CCUACGGGAGGCAGCAGUGGGGAAUAUUGGACAAUGGGCGGAAGCCUGAUCCAGCCAUGCCGCGUGUGUGAAGAAGGCCUUUUGGUUGUAAAGCACUUUAAGCGAGGAGGAGGCUACUAGUAUUAAUACUACUGGAUAGUGGACGUUACUCGCAGAAUAAGCACCGGCUAACUCUGUGCCAGCAGCCGCGGUAAUACAGAGGGUGCGAGCGUUAAUCGGAUUUACUGGGCGUAAAGCGUGCGUAGGCGGCUGAUUAAGUCGGAUGUGAAAUCCCUGAGCUUAACUUAGGAAUUGCAUUCGAUACUGGUCAGCUAGAGUAUGGGAGAGGAUGGUAGAAUUCCAGGUGUAGCGGUGAAAUGCGUAGAGAUCUGGAGGAAUACCGAUGGCGAAGGCAGCCAUCUGGCCUAAUACUGACGCUGAGGUACGAAAGCAUGGGGAGCAAACAGGAUUAGAUACCCUGGUAGUCCAUGCCGUAAACGAUGUCUACUAGCCGUUGGGGUCUUUGAGACUUUAGUGGCGCAGCUAACGCGAUAAGUAGACCGCCUGGGGAGUACGGUCGCGAAGACUAAAACGUCAAAGUAGUAAGUUAGGACGGUUCGUUAGGACGACGUUCGGACCCGGACGGGACCACCGACGGGUAGGGGAGUUAGGGG